AGAGUUUGAUCAUGGCUCAGAUUGAACGCUGGCGGCAGGCCUAACACAUGCAAGUCGAACGGUAACAGGAAGCAGCUUGCUGCUUCGCUGACGAGUGGCGGACGGGUGAGUAAUGUCUGGGAAACUGCCUGAUGGAGGGGGAUAACUACUGGAAACGGUAGCUAAUACCGCAUAACGUCGCAAGACCAAAGAGGGGGACCUUCGGGCCUCUUGCCAUCGGAUGUGCCCAGAUGGGAUUAGCUAGUAGGUGGGGUAACGGCUCACCUAGGCGACGAUCCCUAGCUGGUCUGAGAGGAUGACCAGCCACACUGGAACUGAGACACGGUCCAGACUCCUACGGGAGGCAGCAGUGGGGAAUAUUGCACAAUGGGCGCAAGCCUGAUGCAGCCAUGCCGCGUGUAUGAAGAAGGCCUUCGGGUUGUAAAGUACUNNNNNNNNNACCGCCUGGGGAGUACGGCCGCAAGGUUAAAACUCAAAUGAAUUGACGGGGGCCCGCACAAGCGGUGGAGCAUGUGGUUUAAUUCGAUGCAACGCGAAGAACCUUACCUGGUCUUGACAUCCACAGAACUUUCCAGAGAUGGAUUGGUGCCUUCGGGAACUGUGAGACAGGUGCUGCAUGGCUGUCGUCAGCUCGUGUUGUGAAAUGUUGGGUUAAGUCCCGCAACGAGCGCAACCCUUUUCCUUUGUUGCCAGCGGUCCGGCCGGGAACUCAAAGGAGACUGCCAGUGAUAAACUGGAGGAAGGUGGGGAUGACGUCAAGUCAUCAUGGCCCUUACGACCAGGGCUACACACGUGCUACAAUACCGCCUGGGGAGUACGGCCGCAAGGUUAAAACUCAAAUGAAUUGACGGGGGCCCGCACAAGCGGUGGAGCAUGUGGUUUAAUUCGAUGCAACGCGAAGAACCUUACCUGGUCUUGACAUCCACGGAAGUUUUCAGAGAUGAGAAUGUGCCUUCGGGAACCGUGAGACAGGUGCUGCAUGGCUGUCGUCAGCUCGUGUUGUGAAAUGUUGGGUUAAGUCCCGCAACGAGCGCAACCCUUAUCCUUUGUUGCCAGCGGUCCGGCCGGGAACUCAAAGGAGACUGCCAGUGAUAAACUGGAGGAAGGUGGGGAUGACGUCAAGUCAUCAUGGCCCUUACGACCAGGGCUACACACGUGCUACAAUNUCCUUUGUUGCCAGCGGUCCGGCCGGGAACUCAAAGGAGACUGCCAGUGAUAAACUGGAGGAAGGUGGGGAUGACGUCAAGUCAUCAUGGCCCUUACGACCAGGGCUACACACGUGCUACAAUGGCGCAUACAAAGAGAAGCGACCUCGCGAGAGCAAGCGGACCUCAUAAAGUGCGUCGUAGUCCGGAUUGGAGUCUGCAACUCGACUCCAUGAAGUCGGAAUCGCUAGUAAUCGUGGAUCAGAAUGCCACGGUGAAUACGUUCCCGGGCCUUGUACACACCGCCCGUCACACCAUGGGAGUGGGUUGCAAAAGAAGUAGGUAGCUUAACCUUCGGGAGGGCGCUUACCACUUUGUGAUUCAUGACUGGGGUGAAGUCGUAACAAGGUAACCGUAGGGGAACCUGCGGUUG
This 1578-nucleotide ribosomal RNA is filed under the name Escherichia coli. RNAcentral's name for it is "bacterial SSU rRNA". It matches the Rfam family "Bacterial small subunit ribosomal RNA". Lineage: Bacteria; Pseudomonadati; Pseudomonadota; Gammaproteobacteria; Enterobacterales; Enterobacteriaceae. The record is from RNAcentral.